GAAAUGCGAUAAGUAGUGUGAAUUGCAGAAUUCAGUGAAUCAUCGAAUCUUUGAACGCACAUUGCGCCCCUUGGUAUUCCAUGGGGCAUGCCUGUUCGAGCGUCAUUUGUACCCUCAAGCUCUGCUUGGUGUUGGGUGUUUGUCCCCGUCUCCGCGCGUGGACUCGCCCCAAAGUGAUUGGCAGCCGGCGUACUGGUCCCGGAGCGCAGCACAUGUCGCUCAAACGAGUGCCUUGGUACGGCGGCGUCCAUAAGCCCCUCUCUCACGCUCUUGACCUCGGAUCAGGUAGGGAUACCCGCUGAACUUAAGC
Molecule: unclassified non-coding RNA, 310 nt
Filed under: plant metagenome
Description: partial contains 5.8S ribosomal RNA, internal transcribed spacer 2, and large subunit ribosomal RNA
Rfam family: 5.8S ribosomal RNA (bases 1-105)
Source: RNAcentral